Molecule: ribosomal RNA, 195 nt
Filed under: uncultured Actinomycetales bacterium
Lineage: Bacteria; Bacillati; Actinomycetota; Actinomycetes; Actinomycetales
Description: partial 16S ribosomal RNA
Rfam family: Bacterial small subunit ribosomal RNA
Source: RNAcentral
UUGGGAUAACGCUAGGAAACUGGUGCUAACACUGGAUAUGUGCUCCUGCUGCAUGGUGGGGGUUGGAAAGUUUCGGCGGUUGGGGAUGGACUCGCGGCUUAUCAGCUUGUUGGUGGGGUAGUGGCUUACCAAGGCUUUGACGGGUAGCCGGCCUGAGAGGGUGACCGGCCACAUUGGGACUGAGAUACGGCCCAG